ACGGGUGAGUAACACGUAUCCAACCUGCCGUCUACUCUUGGCCAGCCCUCUGAAAGGAAGAUUAAUCCAGGAUGGCAUCAUGAGUUCACAUGUCCGCAUGAUUAAAGGUAUUUUCCGGUAGACGAUGGGGAUGCGUUCCAUUAGAUAGUAGGCGGGGUAACGGCCCACCUAGUCAACGAUGGAUAGGGGUUCUGAGAGGAAGGUCCCCCACAUUGGAACUGAGACACGGUCCAA
RNAcentral lists this ribosomal RNA (234 nucleotides) under uncultured bacterium. RNAcentral describes it as "partial 16S ribosomal RNA". It matches the Rfam family "Bacterial small subunit ribosomal RNA", at positions 102 to 334 of the family's 1533-position model. The record is from RNAcentral.